AUUGAACGCUGGCGGAAUGCUUUACACAUGCAAGUCGAACGGCAGCACGGACUUCGGUCUGGUGGCGAGUGGCGAACGGGUGAGCAAUGUAUCGGAACGUGCCCAGUCGGGGGGGAUAACGUAGUGAAAAUUACGCUAAUACCGCAUACGAUCUAUGAAUGAAAGCGGGGGAUCGCAAGACCUAGCGCGAUUUGAGCGGCCGAUAUCAGAUUAGGUAGUUGGUGGGGUAAAGGCCCACCAAGCCAACGGUUUGUAGCUGGUCUGAUAGGACGACCAGCCACACUGGAACUGAGACACGGUCCAGACUCCUACGGGAGGCAGCAGUGGGGAAUUUUGGACAAUGGGCGAAAGCCUGAUCCAGCCAUUCCGCGUGCAGGAUGAAGGCCCUCGGGUUGUAAACUGCUUUUGUACAGAACGAAAAGGUCUCUACUAAUACCAGGAGCUCAUGACGGUACUGUAAGAAUAAGCACCGGCUAACUACGUGCCAGCAGCCGCAGUAA
This 500-nucleotide ribosomal RNA is filed under the name uncultured bacterium. RNAcentral describes it as "partial 16S ribosomal RNA". It matches the Rfam family "Bacterial small subunit ribosomal RNA", at positions 30 to 523 of the family's 1533-position model. The record is from RNAcentral.